UAAGGACACAUAGAGAAGCAAUACAUCUUCCUCUUCUUGUUCAUAUGACACCUGCCAGAUAUUCACCCUCUGGCCCCAGUUCAGCAAUGUGAGCAAAAGAACAGGUAUAUUAAGAUUCACCAUUGGCAUUCCAUGGUUGUCGAAAUAUCUACAUCUGAUUUUCUUUCUUCAAAUAUGUGGUAGAUACUGGAAUUUCACUUGUUCAAAUCUGCAUCAAUCAUCUUUUGUGAAUGUCCUUACACUGGCUGUGUAUAGCACUGACAGGAAAGCUGAUUGGAUUCAUAAUAAAUGUAAAUCCAGUCUAUGCUGAAGCAGGCAUAAUCUUGAAAGGAAAAUAAUAUCACAAGAUAUCAGGUUUGACCCCUUGGGAUUAUCGUGUCAGAGAACAAGAAGAAGUCUAUUGCUUCUAACUGAAUGCCAUAGUCACCUCUUCUUGCUCUUCUCCCUUUGAUCCUGCUUCUUUCCCACCUUGGUUCAGUAAAGUUGCCUUGAGUUGAGCAGCUUUCCUGUGUCAAGCCUUUCCACCAUGAAGUUUCUGCCUUGGAGCCAGCUGAUCAUGGAUAGAAACAUCUGAAACUG
Molecule: non-coding RNA, 579 nt
Organism: Ictidomys tridecemlineatus (thirteen-lined ground squirrel)
Lineage: Eukaryota; Metazoa; Chordata; Mammalia; Rodentia; Sciuridae
Source: RefSeq, a predicted model, not a curated record